This is a non-coding RNA of Pelobates cultripes (western spadefoot toad), 266 nucleotides long. Lineage: Eukaryota; Metazoa; Chordata; Amphibia; Anura; Pelobatidae. The record is from the annotation of a GenBank genome assembly.
GUGGGCACUGCAUGCCAUCAGUGCGUUUCUUCGUUUGCACUUUGUAGCCCUCCUUUUGUGUGGCUGGUACUGUUGGGAUGGAGUCCUUUUAGCUCUCACCCCAGGUGGGCAGUGUGUGUAGGUUGCAGAUGCUUAAGACCACUUUGUGCCCUUGAGAGGCUACCCAGGCCUACCCUUGUCGCAUUUUCGCUCUCCAUUAGGCGAGACAUGUUCAGAUAGCUUCAAGAGUGUCCAUGGCUUUUUGGUGGAGGACUGGUGAGUCUGAC